Molecule: ribosomal RNA, 460 nt
Filed under: uncultured bacterium
Lineage: Bacteria
Description: partial 16S ribosomal RNA
Rfam family: Bacterial small subunit ribosomal RNA
Source: RNAcentral
CCUACGGGAGGCAGCAGUGAGGAAUAUUGGUCAAUGUGCGGGAGCCUGACCCAGCCACGUCGCGUGAGUGAAGACGGUCCUUUGGAUUGUAAACCUCUUUAGGCGGGGAGCAAUGCCGGGCACGCGUGCACGGAGGGAGAGUACCCGCAGAAUACGCAUCGGCUAACUCCGUGCCAGCAGCCUCGGUAAGACGGAGGAUGCGAGCGUUAUCCGGAUUUAUUGGGUUUCAAGGGUGAGUAGUCGGAUUUGUAGGUCAGCGGUAAAAUGUCCGGCCUCAACCCGGGCCGGCCGUUGAAACUGGGGAUCUUGAGUGGGCGAGAAGUAUGCGGAAUGCGCGGUGUAGCGGUGAAAUGCAUAGAUAUCACGCAGAACUCCGAUUGCGAAGGCAGCAUACCGGCGCCCGACUGACGCUGAGGCACGAAAGCGUGGGGAUCGAACAGGAUUAGAGACCCCUGUAGUC